Molecule: long non-coding RNA, 312 nt
Filed under: Gallus gallus (chicken)
Lineage: Eukaryota; Metazoa; Chordata; Aves; Galliformes; Phasianidae
Source: RNAcentral
ACAUCCGCCCCAUAGAUCCUGUGGGACCCCGAAGUUGGGAGGCCCCGAAAUGGUGCUCUGUCUCUUUAAGAACCCCAACUUUAAGGGCCCCAAAAUGCUGCGCUGUCCCUUUAAGAACCUCAAAAUGCUUCACUGUGCCUUUAAGGACCCCCAAAUUUGGGAACCCCACACUUGUGGGGCGGCCCCACAUCCGCCCCAUAGAUCCUGUGGGUCCCCAAAUUUCGGUCGACCCCAAAAUGGUGCUCUGUCUCUUUAAGAACCCCAACUUUGGGGGACCCCAAAAUGGCGCUCUGUCACUUUAAGAACGCUGAG